This 430-nucleotide ribosomal RNA is filed under the name uncultured bacterium. RNAcentral's name for it is "partial 16S ribosomal RNA". It matches the Rfam family "Bacterial small subunit ribosomal RNA", at positions 29 to 507 of the family's 1533-position model. The record is from RNAcentral.
ACGCACGCUGGCGGCAGGCUUAACACAUGCAAGUCGAACGCCCCGCAAGGGGAGUGGCAGACGGGUGAGUAACGCGUGGGAAUCUACCCAUCCCUACGGAAUAACGCAUGGAAACGUGUGCUAAUACCGUAUACGCCCUACGGGGGAAAGAUUUAUCGGGGAUGGAUGAGCCCGCGUUGGAUUAGCUAGUUGGUGGGGUAAAGGCCUACCAAGGCGACGAUCCAUAGCUGGUCUGAGAGGAUGAUCAGCCACAUUGGGACUGAGGCACGGCCCAAACUCCUACGGGAGGCAGCAGUGGGGAAUAUUGGACAAUGGGCGCAAGCCUGAUCCAGCCAUGCCGCGUGAGUGAUGAAGGCCUUAGGGUUGUAAAGCUCUUUCACCGGAGAAGAUAAUGACGGUAUCCGGAGAAGAAGCCCCGGCUAACUUCGUG